ACGCAAUAGAUACCCCGGUAGUCCACGCCGUAAACGAUGAGUGCUAAGUGUUAGAGGGUUUCCGCCCUUUAGUGCUGCAGCUAAACGCAUUAAGCACUCCGCCUGGGGAGUACGGUCGCAAGACUGAAACUCAAAGGAAUUGACGGGGGCCCGCACAAGCGGUGGAGCAUGUGGUUUAAUUCGAAGCAACGCGAAGAACCUUACCAGGUCUUGACAUCCUCUGACAACUCUAGAGAUAGAGCGUUCCCCUUCGGGGGACAGAGUGACAGGUGGUGCAUGGUUGUCGUCAGCUCGUGUCGUGAGAUGUUGGGUUAAGUCCCGCAACGAGCGCAACCCUUGAUCUUAGUUGCCAGCAUUUAGUUGGGCACUCUAAGGUGACUGCCGGUGACAAACCGGAGGAAGGUGGGGAUGACGUCAAAUCAUCAUGCCCCUUAUGACCUGGGCUACACACGUGCUACAAUGGAUGGUACAAAGGGCUGCAAGACCGCGAGGUCAAGCCAAUCCCAUAAAACCCAUUCUCAGUUCGGAUUGUA
Molecule: ribosomal RNA, 533 nt
Filed under: uncultured bacterium
Lineage: Bacteria
Description: bacterial SSU rRNA
Rfam family: Bacterial small subunit ribosomal RNA
Source: RNAcentral